This 429-nucleotide ribosomal RNA is filed under the name Gemmatimonadota bacterium. Its description in RNAcentral is "Gemmatimonadetes bacterium partial 16S ribosomal RNA". It matches the Rfam family "Bacterial small subunit ribosomal RNA", at positions 355 to 776 of the family's 1533-position model. Lineage: Bacteria; Pseudomonadati; Gemmatimonadota. The record is from RNAcentral.
UAGGGAAUCUUCGGCAAUGGACGAAAGUCUGACCGAGCAACGCCGCGUGAGUGAAGAAGGUUCUCGGAUCGUAAAACUCUGUUGUUAGAGAAGAACAAGGACGUUAGUAACUGAACGUCCCCUGACGGUAUCUAACCAGAAAGCCACGGCUAACUACGUGCCAGCAGCCGCGGUAAUACGUAGGUGGCAAGCGUUGUCCGGAUUUAUUGGGCGUAAAGCGAGCGCAGGCGGUUUCUUAAGUCUGAUGUGAAAGCCCCCGGCUCAACCGGGGAGGGUCAUUGGAAACUGGGAGACUGGAGUGCAGAAGAGGAGGGUGAAAUUCCAUGUGUAGGGGUGAAAUGCGUAGAUAUAUGAAGGAACACCGGUGGCGAAGGCGGCUCUCUGGUCUGUAACUGACGCUGAGGCUCGAAAGCGUGGGGAGCAAACAGG